CGGUGACCUAUGAUAAUUUCAUUUUUUUUGGUGUCAUUUGGUCUCUUGUGGAGAGUAGUCGCAUUUGCAAUAAUACCACAUCUUUUUUUUUUCUUUCUCACAAACAUUCCCGACAUGUCAUUGCCAUAUAUUACAAUUAAUGUUUUAACAUAGUUUAAUACCCGCAUGAACUCUCAUACAUUCAUGACAUUGUCAUAUCAUAAUAAAUGUUUUAACAUAGUUUAAUACUCAUUGUUGAAGGCUGUACGGUGACCUAUGAUAAUUUUUUUUUUUGUGUCAUUUGGUCUCUUGUGGAGAGUAGUCGCAUUUGCAAUCAUACCACAUCUUCUUUUUUUUUCUCACAAACAUUCCCGACAUGUCAUUGCCAUAUAUUACAAUUAAUGUUUUAACAUAGUUUAAUACCCGCAUGAACUCAACAUAGUUUAAUACCCGCAUGAACUCUCAUACAUUCAUGACAUUGUCAUAUCACAAUUAACGUUUUAACAUAGUUUAAUACUCGGAUGAACUCUCAUACAUUCAUGACAUUGUCAUACCACAAUUAAAGUUUGUACAUAGUUUAAUACCCGGAUGAACUCUAUCAUAUAUUCAUGACAUUGUCAUACCACAAUUAUUGUUUUAACAUAGUUUAAUACCCGGAUGUACUCUCUCAUAUAUUCAUGACAUUGUCAUAUCACAAUUAAUGUUUUAACAUAGUUUAAUACCCGGAUGUACUCACUUAUAUAUUCAUGACAUUGUCAUAUCACAAUUAAUGCUUUAACAUAGUUUACUACCCGAAUGAACUCUCACACAUACAUGAUAUUGUCAUAUUUCAAUAAAUGUUUUAACAUACAUGUAGUGUGAUACCCGAAUGAACUCUCACACAUACAUGACAUUGUCAUACCACAAUUCAUGUUUUAACAUAGUUUUAUACCCGAAUGUACUCUCUCACACAUACAUGACAUUGUCAUAUUACAAUUAAUGUUUUAACAUAGUUUAAUACCCGAUGAACUCUCAUACAUUCAUGACAUUGUCAUAUAUCACAAUUAACGUUUUAACAUAGUUUAUUACCCGAAUGACUCUCAUACAUUCAUGACAGACAUUUUCAUACCACAAUUAAAGUUUUAACAUAGUUUUAUACCCGAAUGUACUCUCUCACACAUACAUGACAUUGUCAUAUUACAAUUAAUGUUUUAACAUAGUUUAAUACCCGAUGAACUCUCAUACAUUCAUGACAUUGUCAUAUAUCACAAUUAACGUUUUUACAUAGUUUAUUACCCGAAUGACUCUCAUACAUUCAUGACAGCCAUUUUCAUACCACAAUUAAAGUUUUAACAUAGUUUUAUACCCGAAUGUACUCUCUCACACAUACAUGACAUUGUCAUAUUACAAUUAAUGUUUUAACAUAGCUUAAUACCCGAUGAACUCUCAUACAUUCAUGACAUUGUCAUAUAUCACAAUUAACGUUUUAACAUAGUUUAUUACCCGAAUGAACUCUCAUACAUUCAUGACAGACAUUUUCAUACCACAGUUAAAGUUUUAACAUAGUUUGGGGGGGGCAUAGUUUAUUACGAUGAGAGAGUACAUCCGGGAAUUAAACUAUGUUAAAACAUUAAUUGUGGUAUGACAAUAUCAUCAAUGUAUGAGAGAGUACAUCCGGGAAUUAAACUAUGUUAAAACAUUAAUUGUGGUAUGACAAUAUCAUCAAUGUAUGAGAGAGUGCAUCCGGGAAUUAAACUAUGUUAAAAC
RNAcentral lists this long non-coding RNA (1725 nucleotides) under Mytilus galloprovincialis (Mediterranean mussel). Lineage: Eukaryota; Metazoa; Mollusca; Bivalvia; Mytilida; Mytilidae. The record is from RNAcentral.